GUGUGCGUGUGGACGUGAAAGAGACCAAGAAGACCAAGAACAAAAUAUCAUGGGGGAGACAAGGGGUGGAUUUUUGGAUUUUUCCUUCCCAACAUAUGUAUUAUAUAUAUAUAUAUAGAUAUAUAUGUAUAUAU
This 134-nucleotide non-coding RNA is filed under the name Lotharella globosa. Lineage: Eukaryota; Cercozoa; Chlorarachniophyceae. The record is from RNAcentral.